This 426-nucleotide ribosomal RNA is filed under the name uncultured bacterium. Its description in RNAcentral is "bacterial SSU rRNA". It matches the Rfam family "Bacterial small subunit ribosomal RNA", at positions 356 to 773 of the family's 1533-position model. The record is from RNAcentral.
AGGGAAUCUUCGGCAAUGGACGAAAGUCUGACCGAGCAACGCCGCGUGAGUGAAGAAGGUUUUCGGAUCGUAAAACUCUGUUGUUAGAGAAGAACAAGGAUGAGAGUAGAACGUUCAUCCCUUGACGGUAUCUAACCAGAAAGCCACGGCUAACUACGUGCCAGCAGCCGCGGUAAUACGUAGGUGGCAAGCGUUGUCCGGAUUUAUUGGGCGUAAAGCGAGCGCAGGCGGUUUCUUAAGUCUGAUGUGAAAGCCCCCGGCUCAACCGGGGAGGGUCAUUGGAAACUGGGAGACUUGAGUGCAGAAGAGGAGAGUGGAAUUCCAUGUGUAGCGGUGAAAUGCGUAGAUAUAUGGAGGAACACCAGUGGCGAAGGCGGCUCUCUGGUCUGUAACUGACGCUGAGGCUCGAAAGCGUGGGGAGCGAAC